UGUAUAAUGGGUCAGCGACUUAUAUUCUGUAGCAAGGUUAACCGAAUAGGGGAGCCGAAGGGAAACCGAGUCUUAACUGGGCGUUAAGUUGCAGGGUAUAGACCCGAAACCCGGUGAUCUAGCCAUGGGCAGGUUGAAGGUUGGGUAACACUAACUGGAGGACCGAACCGACUAAUGUUGAAAAAUUAGCGGAUGACUUGUGGCUGGGGGUGAAAGGCCAAUCAAACCGGGAGAUAGCUGGUUCUCCCCGAAAGCUAUUUAGGUAGCGCCUCGUGAAUUCAUCUCCGGGGGUAGAGCACUGUUUCGGCAAGGGGGUCAUCCCGACUUACCAACCCGAUGCAAACUGCGAAUACCGGAGAAUGUUAUCACGGGAGACACACGGCGGGUGCUAACGUCCGUCGUGAAGAGGGAAACAACCCAGACCGCCAGCUAAGGUCCCAAAGUCAUGGUUAAGUGGGAAACGAUGUGGGAAGGCCCAGACAGCCAGGAUGUUGGCUUAGAAGCAGCCAUCAUUUAAAGAAAGCGUAAUAGCUCACUGGUCGAGUCGGCCUGCGCGGAAGAUGUAACGGGGCUAAACCAUGCACCGAAGCUGCGGCAGCGACGCUGAUGCGUUGUUGGGUAGGGGAGCGUUCUGUAAGCCUGUGAAGGUGUGCUGUGAGGCAUGCUGGAGGUAUCAGAAGUGCGAAUGCUGACAUAAGUAACGAUAAAGCGGGUGAAAAGCCCGCUCGCCGGAAGACCAAGGGUUCCUGUCCAACGUUAAUCGGGGCAGGGUGAGUCGACCCCUAAGGCGAGGCCGAAAGGCGUAGUCGAUGGGAAACAGGUUAAUAUUCCUGUACUUGGUGUUACUGCGAAGGGGGGACGGAGAAGGCUAUGUUGGCCGGGCGACGGUUGUCCCGGUUUAAGCGUGUAGGCUGGUUUUCCAGGCAAAUCCGGAAAAUCAAGGCUGAGGCGUGAUGACGAGGCACUACGGUGCUGAAGCAACAAAUGCCCUGCUUCCAGGAAAAGCCUCUAAGCAUCAGGUAACAUCAAAUCGUACCCCAAACCGACACAGGUGGUCAGGUAGAGAAUACCAAGGCGCUUGAGAGAACUCGGGUGAAGGAACUAGGCAAAAUGGUGCCGUAACUUCGGGAGAA
Molecule: ribosomal RNA, 1133 nt
Filed under: Escherichia coli
Lineage: Bacteria; Pseudomonadati; Pseudomonadota; Gammaproteobacteria; Enterobacterales; Enterobacteriaceae
Description: partial 23S ribosomal RNA
Rfam family: Bacterial large subunit ribosomal RNA
Source: RNAcentral